RNAcentral lists this ribosomal RNA (447 nucleotides) under uncultured bacterium. Its description in RNAcentral is "partial 16S ribosomal RNA". It matches the Rfam family "Bacterial small subunit ribosomal RNA", at positions 29 to 523 of the family's 1533-position model. The record is from RNAcentral.
AGUGAACGCUGGCGGCAGGCUUAACACAUGCAAGUCGAACGCACCGCAAGGGGAGUGGCAGACGGGUGAGUAACGCGUGGGGACCUUCACUUUGGUUCAGGAUAGCUCCGGGAAACGGGAAUUAAAACUGGGUAAGAGCUACGGAAGAAAGAUUUAUCGCCGAAGGAUGGGCACGCGUAAGAUUAGCUAGUUGGUGAGGUAAUGGCUCACCAAGGCAAUGAUCUUUAGCUGGUCUGAGAGGAUGAUCAGCCACACUGGAACUGAGACACGGUCCAGACUCCUACGGGAGGCAGCGGUGAGGAAUAUUGGACAAUGAGCGCAAGCCUGAUCCAGCCAUGCCGCGUGAGUGAUGAAGGCCUUAGGGUUGUAAAACUCUUUUAGGAGGGAAAAUAAUGACGGUACCUAAAGAAAAAGCUCCGGCUAACUUCGUGCCAGCCGCCGCCGUAA